AUCAUUACCGAGUGAGGGCCCCCGGCCCGACCUCCAACCCCAUGUUUUCCGACCUCUGUUGCCUCGGGGGCGACCCGGCCGCUCCGGCCGGGGCCCCCCGUGGACCCCAACCAAACCCUGCAUAUCUGCGUCUGAGUCAAUUGAUAAAUUCAAUCAAAACUUUCAACAACGGAUCUCUUGGUUCUGGCAUCGAUGAAGAACGCAGCGAAAUGCGAUAAGUAAUGUGAAUUGCAGAAUUCAGUGAAUCAUCGAAUCUUUGAACGCACAUUGCGCCCGGUGGCAUUCCGCCGGGCAUGCCUGUUCGAGCGUCAUUACACCACUCCAGCCUGGCUGGGUAUUGGGCGUCGCGGUGUCCCCGCGCGCCUCGAAGUCUCCGGCCGAGCCGUCCGUCUCAUAAGCGUUGUGAUUUAUCAAGCCGCUUGCGAGUGCGGGGGGCCGUCGCGCCGUUAAACGACCAUCUCAAGGUUGACCUCGGAUCAGG
This 481-nucleotide ribosomal RNA is filed under the name Myrtapenidiella tenuiramis. RNAcentral describes it as "eukaryotic LSU rRNA". The stretch from base 158 to 311 matches the Rfam family "5.8S ribosomal RNA". The record is from RNAcentral. Lineage: Eukaryota; Fungi; Ascomycota; Dothideomycetes; Mycosphaerellales; Teratosphaeriaceae.